RNAcentral lists this ribosomal RNA (254 nucleotides) under uncultured bacterium. RNAcentral's name for it is "partial 16S ribosomal RNA". It matches the Rfam family "Bacterial small subunit ribosomal RNA", at positions 524 to 777 of the family's 1533-position model. The record is from RNAcentral.
UACGUAGGUGGCGAGCGUUGUCCGGAUUUACUGGGCGUAAAGCGCGCGCAGGCGGUUCGUUAAGUCUGGUGUGAAAGCUCCCGGCUCAACUGGGAGAGGUCAUCGGAUACUGGCGGACUCGAGGGAUGCAGAGGAAGGUGGAAUUCCCGGUGUAGUGGUGAAAUGCGUAGAGAUCGGGAGGAACACCAGUGGCGAAGGCGGCCUUCUGGGCAUUUCCUGACGCUGAGGCGCGAAAGCGUGGGGAGCGAACCGGG